Molecule: ribosomal RNA, 229 nt
Filed under: uncultured bacterium
Lineage: Bacteria
Description: partial 16S ribosomal RNA
Rfam family: Bacterial small subunit ribosomal RNA
Source: RNAcentral
UCCGUAGGCGGGCAAUUAAGUCAGAGGUGAAAUCCCACAGCUCAACUGUGGAACUGCCUUUGAUACUGGUUGUCUUGAGUUAUAGUGAAGUAGAUAGAAUAUGUAGUGUAGCGGUGAAAUGCAUAGAUAUUACAUAGAAUACCGAUUGCGAAGGCAGUCUACUAACUGUAUACUAACGCUAAUGGACGAAAGCGUGGGGAGCGAACAGGAUUAGAUACCCUGGUAGUCC